UUUGUAAAUGUUUAUAUUUUGAACAUUGAUGAACAACCUAGUUAAAAGGUACGUGUAAUGAAGUAACUUGACUUUUACAAAGAUCUUACAAUGGAUUUCCAAUUUUAGUUAAGAUAUAUGCUUCACAUAAAUAAAUUAGUUAUGUGAUUAUGACCAAAUUUACAGGUCUUAACAAAUUUAUAAUUUCUAUAAUGUUAUAACCUUUAUUUGGGAUGUUGGUGACCAAAAUUAAUUUGGUUAGUAGAGAGGGGUUCCUGAAUUUUACUAUAAAGUAUUUUGUAUUGAAUUAUCUAUUUAUUUAUUUUUGUAAAAAGAGAAAGUAUGUCAUGUGACCACUAAAAAAAGUGAAGACCACCAACAAACA
RNAcentral lists this long non-coding RNA (364 nucleotides) under Brassica napus (rape). Its description in RNAcentral is "long non-coding RNA (BNAP_LNC007265)". Lineage: Eukaryota; Viridiplantae; Streptophyta; Magnoliopsida; Brassicales; Brassicaceae. The record is from RNAcentral.